This 97-nucleotide small RNA is filed under the name Mytilus galloprovincialis (Mediterranean mussel). The record is from RNAcentral. Lineage: Eukaryota; Metazoa; Mollusca; Bivalvia; Mytilida; Mytilidae.
GACAAAAUUGACUUUUGUGAGACAAAAUUGACUUUUGUGAGACAAAAUUGACAAAAUUGAGUUUUGUCUCACAAAAGUCAAUUUUGUAUGCAAAUUU